GUGAAUAAGGUUUAUUUGGAAAAAUUUAAAGAAGAAGAGUAGAAGAAUGAGUCGGCUAACCCAAAGGUGGAACAAAGAAAAUUGUGUAGAGAAAAAGAGGGAAAAUCGGCACAAAGAAAGAAAGUAAAACAAAGGGUUUUCAGCUUUUAGGAAGAAAGGUUUCUGACAACAAGGUGAAGGGAAUUCGGCAUUAGCCUGGCCACCC
This 205-nucleotide long non-coding RNA is filed under the name Gossypium barbadense (sea-island cotton). Its description in RNAcentral is "long non-coding RNA (GBAR_LNC012456)". The record is from RNAcentral. Lineage: Eukaryota; Viridiplantae; Streptophyta; Magnoliopsida; Malvales; Malvaceae.